GACGGAGGAUGCGAGUGUUAUCCGGAAUCACUGGGCGUAAAGCGUCUGUAGGUGGUUUAAAAAGUCUGCUGUUAAAGGUUGAAGCUUAACUUCAAAAAUGCAGUAGAAACUUUUAAACUUGAGUAUGGUAGGGGCAUGCGGAACUGAUGGUGGAGCGGUGAAAUGUGUUGAUAUCAUCAGGAACUCCGGUGGCGAAGGCGGCAUGCUGGACCUUCACUGACGCUGAGGCGCGAAAGCUAGGGGAGCGAACGGG
RNAcentral lists this ribosomal RNA (253 nucleotides) under uncultured bacterium. RNAcentral describes it as "partial 16S ribosomal RNA". It matches the Rfam family "Bacterial small subunit ribosomal RNA", at positions 524 to 776 of the family's 1533-position model. The record is from RNAcentral.